RNAcentral lists this ribosomal RNA (467 nucleotides) under uncultured bacterium. RNAcentral's name for it is "partial 16S ribosomal RNA". It matches the Rfam family "Bacterial small subunit ribosomal RNA", at positions 29 to 507 of the family's 1533-position model. The record is from RNAcentral.
ACGAACGCUGGCGGCGUGCUUAACACAUGCAAGUCGAACGGAAAGGUCCUGCUUUUGUGGGGUGCUCGAGUGGCGAACGGGUGAGUAACACGUGAGUAACCUGCCCUUGACUUUGGGAUAACUUCAGGAAACUGGGGCUAAUACCGGAUAGGAGCUCCUGCUGCAUGGUGGGGGUUGGAAAGUUUCGGCGGUUGGGGAUGGACUCGCGGCUUAUCAGCUUGUUGGUGGGGUAGUGGCUUACCAAGGCUUUGACGGGUAGCCGGCCUGAGAGGGUGACCGGCCACAUUGGGACUGAGAUACGGCCCAGACUCCUACGGGAGGCAGCAGUGGGGAAUAUUGCACAAUGGGCGGAAGCCUGAUGCAGCAACGCCGCGUGCGGGAUGACGGCCUUCGGGUUGUAAACCGCUUUCGCCUGUGACGAAGCGUGAGUGGCGGUAAUGGGUAAAGAAGCACCGGCUAACUACGUG